UGGGCGUAGGAAAUUUGAGAGGAGCUGUCCUUAGUACGAGAGGACCGGGAUGGACAUACCUCUGGUGUACCAGUUGUCGUGCCAACGGCAUAGCUGGGUAGCUAUGUGUGGACGGGAUAAGUGCUGAAAGCAUCUAAGCAUGAAGCCCCCCUCAAGAUGAGAUUUCCCAACUUCGGUUAUAAGAUCCCUCAAAGAUGAUGAGGUUAAUAGGUUCGAGGUGGAAGCAUGGUGACAUAUGGAGCUGACGAAUACUAAUCGAUCGAAGACUUAAUCAA
This 275-nucleotide ribosomal RNA is filed under the name Staphylococcus aureus. RNAcentral describes it as "partial 23S ribosomal RNA". It matches the Rfam family "Bacterial large subunit ribosomal RNA", at positions 2648 to 2925 of the family's 2925-position model. Lineage: Bacteria; Bacillati; Bacillota; Bacilli; Caryophanales; Staphylococcaceae. The record is from RNAcentral.